This 2796-nucleotide ribosomal RNA is filed under the name Enterobacter hormaechei. RNAcentral's name for it is "partial 23S ribosomal RNA". It matches the Rfam family "Bacterial large subunit ribosomal RNA". The record is from RNAcentral. Lineage: Bacteria; Pseudomonadati; Pseudomonadota; Gammaproteobacteria; Enterobacterales; Enterobacteriaceae. RNAcentral also lists the same sequence under 2 other names.
GGUUAAGCGACUAAGCGUACACGGUGGAUGCCCUGGCAGUCAGAGGCGAUGAAGGACGUGCUAAUCUGCGAAAAGCGCCGGCGAGGUGAUAUGAACCUUUGACCCGGCGAUGUCCGAAUGGGGAAACCCAGUGUGUUCCGACACACUAUCGUUAACUGAAUACAUAGGUUAACGAGGCGAACCGGGGGAACUGAAACAUCUAAGUACCCCGAGGAAAAGAAAUCAACCGAGAUUCCCCCAGUAGCGGCGAGCGAACGGGGAGCAGCCCGGAGUCUGAAUCAGCUUGUGUGUUAGUGGAACGGUCUGGAAAGUCCGACGGUACAGGGUGAUAGUCCCGUACACGAAAAUGCACAUGCUGUGAACUCGAAGAGUAGGGCGGGACACGUGGUAUCCUGUCUGAAUAUGGGGGGACCAUCCUCCAAGGCUAAAUACUCCUGACUGACCGAUAGUGAACCAGUACCGUGAGGGAAAGGCGAAAAGAACCCCGGCGAGGGGAGUGAAAAAGAACCUGAAACCGUGUACGUACAAGCAGUGGGAGCACCUUCGGGUGUGACUGCGUACCUUUUGUAUAAUGGGUCAGCGACUUAUAUUCUGUAGCAAGGUUAACCGUAUAGGGGAGCCGAAGGGAAACCGAGUCUUAACUGGGCGUUAAGUUGCAGGGUAUAGACCCGAAACCCGGUGAUCUAGCCAUGGGCAGGUUGAAGGUUGGGUAACACUAACUGGAGGACCGAACCGACUAAUGUUGAAAAAUUAGCGGAUGACCUGUGGCUGGGGGUGAAAGGCCAAUCAAACCGGGAGAUAGCUGGUUCUCCCCGAAAGCUAUUUAGGUAGCGCCUCGUGAACUCAUCUUCGGGGGUAGAGCACUGUUUCGGCUAGGGGGCCAUCCCGGCUUACCAACCCGAUGCAAACUACGAAUACCGAAGAAUGUUAUCACGGGAGACACACGGCGGGUGCUAACGUCCGUCGUGAAGAGGGAAACAACCCAGACCGCCAGCUAAGGUCCCAAAGUCAUGGUUAAGUGGGAAACGAUGUGGGAAGGCACAGACAGCCAGGAUGUUGGCUUAGAAGCAGCCAUCAUUUAAAGAAAGCGUAAUAGCUCACUGGUCGAGUCGGCCUGCGCGGAAGAUGUAACGGGGCUAAACCAUGCACCGAAGCUGCGGCAGCGACGCUUAUGCGUUGUUGGGUAGGGGAGCGUUCUGUAAGCCGUUGAAGGUGUGCUGUGAGGCAUGCUGGAGGUAUCAGAAGUGCGAAUGCUGACAUAAGUAACGAUAAAGCGGGUGAAAAGCCCGCUCGCCGGAAGACCAAGGGUUCCUGUCCAACGUUAAUCGGGGCAGGGUGAGUCGACCCCUAAGGCGAGGCCGAAAGGCGUAGUCGAUGGGAAACAGGUUAAUAUUCCUGUACUUGGUGUUACUGCGAAGGGGGGACGGAGAAGGCUAUGUCAGCCGGGCGACGGUUGUCCCGGUUUAAGCAUGUAGGCGGAGGUUCCAGGUAAAUCCGGUACCUUAUUAACGCUGAGGUGUGAUGACGAGGCACUACGGUGCUGAAGUGAUAAAUGCCCUGCUUCCAGGAAAAGCCUCUAAGCAUCAGGUAACACGAAAUCGUACCCCAAACCGACACAGGUGGUCAGGUAGAGAAUACCAAGGCGCUUGAGAGAACUCGGGUGAAGGAACUAGGCAAAAUGGUGCCGUAACUUCGGGAGAAGGCACGCUGAUAUGUAGGUGAAGCCCCUGCGGGCGGAGCUGAAAUCAGUCGAAGAUACCAGCUGGCUGCAACUGUUUAUUAAAAACACAGCACUGUGCAAACACGAAAGUGGACGUAUACGGUGUGACGCCUGCCCGGUGCCGGAAGGUUAAUUGAUGGGGUUAGCGGCAACGCGAAGCUCUUGAUCGAAGCCCCGGUAAACGGCGGCCGUAACUAUAACGGUCCUAAGGUAGCGAAAUUCCUUGUCGGGUAAGUUCCGACCUGCACGAAUGGCGUAAUGAUGGCCAGGCUGUCUCCACCCGAGACUCAGUGAAAUUGAACUCGCUGUGAAGAUGCAGUGUACCCGCGGCAAGACGGAAAGACCCCGUGAACCUUUACUAUAGCUUGACACUGAACACUGGUCCUUGAUGUGUAGGAUAGGUGGGAGGCUUUGAAGCGUGGACGCCAGUCUGCGUGGAGCCGCCCUUGAAAUACCACCCUUUAAUGGCUGGUGUUCUAACGUAGACCCGUGAUCCGGGUUGCGGACAGUGUCUGGUGGGUAGUUUGACUGGGGCGGUCUCCUCCCAAAGAGUAACGGAGGAGCACGAAGGUUGGCUAAUCCUGGUCGGACAUCAGGAGGUUAGUGCAAUGGCAUAAGCCAGCUUGACUGCGAGCGUGACGGCGCGAGCAGGUGCGAAAGCAGGUCAUAGUGAUCCGGUGGUUCUGAAUGGAAGGGCCAUCGCUCAACGGAUAAAAGGUACUCCGGGGAUAACAGGCUGAUACCGCCCAAGAGUUCAUAUCGACGGCGGUGUUUGGCACCUCGAUGUCGGCUCAUCACAUCCUGGGGCUGAAGUAGGUCCCAAGGGUAUGGCUGUUCGCCAUUUAAAGUGGUACGCGAGCUGGGUUUAGAACGUCGUGAGACAGUUCGGUCCCUAUCUGCCGUGGGCGCUGGAGAAUUGAGGGGGGCUGCUCCUAGUACGAGAGGACCGGAGUGGACGCAUCACUGGUGUUCGGGUUGUCAUGCCAAUGGCACUGCCCGGUAGCUAAAUGCGGAAGAGAUAAGUGCUGAAAGCAUCUAAGCACGAAACUUGCCCCGAGAUGAGUUCUCCCUGAGAC